GAUGAACGCUGGCGGCGUGCCUAAUACAUGCAAGUCGAGCGAACGGACGAGAAGCUUGCUUUUCUGAUGUUAGCGGCGGACGGGUGAGUAACACGUGGAUAACCUACCUAUAAGACUGGGAUAACUUCGGGAAACCGGAGCUAAUACCGGAUAAUAUUUUGAACCGCAUGGUUCAAAAGUGAAAGACGGUCUUGCUGUCACUUAUAGAUGGAUCCGCGCUGCAUUAGCUAGUUGGUAAGGUAACGGCUUACCAAGGCAACGAUGCAUAGCCGACCUGAGAGGGUGAUCGGCCACACUGGAACUGAGACACGGUCCAGACUCCUACGGGAAGCAGCAGUAGGGAAUCUUCCGCAAUGGGCGAAAGCCUGACGGAGCAACGCCGCGUGAGUGAUGAAGGUCUUCGGAUCGUAAAACUCUGUUAUUAGGGAAGAACAUAUGUGUAAGUAACUGUGCACAUCUUGACGGUACCUAAUCAGAAAGCCACGGCUAACUACGUG
RNAcentral lists this ribosomal RNA (497 nucleotides) under uncultured bacterium. RNAcentral's name for it is "partial 16S ribosomal RNA". It matches the Rfam family "Bacterial small subunit ribosomal RNA", at positions 28 to 507 of the family's 1533-position model. The record is from RNAcentral.